This 225-nucleotide long non-coding RNA is filed under the name Carica papaya (papaya). RNAcentral's name for it is "long non-coding RNA (CPAP_LNC002573)". The record is from RNAcentral. Lineage: Eukaryota; Viridiplantae; Streptophyta; Magnoliopsida; Brassicales; Caricaceae.
ACUUACUAGAUCAAGCAAUCUCCUCCUAAGCUAUUGGGGUUGUUUUUGGUUAUGAACUCGGGCAAUGUGUUGGUGCUUGGCUGAGAUGAGGUCUUCAGUCAACUAGGCAUGUUCUAGCAACUCCGCAUACGAGUUGGGUCCCAGCAUCAUGGCUAAGUCAUAGAUAUAGCACGAAGGCUUUUUAGAAACUCUUAACUUUUUGGCUUUCAGGAGUGACCAUUAGAG